This 419-nucleotide ribosomal RNA is filed under the name bacterium. Its description in RNAcentral is "partial 16S ribosomal RNA". It matches the Rfam family "Bacterial small subunit ribosomal RNA", at positions 355 to 776 of the family's 1533-position model. The record is from RNAcentral.
UGGGGGAUAUUGCACAAUGGGCGAAAGCCUGAUGCAGCGACGCCGCGUGGGGGAUGAAGGCCUUCGGGUUGUAAACUUCUUUUGCUCUGAACAAGGCGCACCAUGGGGUGUGUUGAGUGUAGGGGUUGAUUAGCGCCGGCUAACUACGUGCCAGCAGCCGCGGUAAUACGUAGGGCGCGAGCGUUGUCCGGUAUUAUUGGGCGUAAAGGGCUUGUAGGUGGCUGGUUGCGUCUGUCGUGAAAGCUCAUGGCUUAACUGUGGGUUUGCGGUGGGUACGGGCUGGCUUGAGUGCAGUAGGGGAGGCUGGAAUUCCUGGUGUAGCGGUGGAAUGCGCAGAUAUCAGGAUGAAUACCGGUGGCGAAGGCGGGUCUCUGGGCUGUUACUGACACUGAGGAGCGAAAGCAUGGGGAGCGAACAGG